AUGCUAUCCUUCUAAAAAAAAAAAACUCAGUUGCUCUCUCAAUCCCUUUCUCUCGCCCUUUGAUCGGACUCAAAGUCAGGCGAACAAGCCGCCAUAUGUCACCGUUGUCGGCCACUGCGCGCGGUGGCCAGAAAUCCGAAGAGGUCGGUGGACGGUGGAGCAGGUGGCUGACAUGGUGGUGGCAGACCUAGGUGCGACGCACCUAGGUGUUAGGAGGCUAGGGUUCUCUUUUUUUGUUAAUGUUUUUGGGCUGAUGUUAGUGGGUUAGGGUUUGUUUAUUUUGGGCUGGUAGUUUAGGUUUUAUUUUGUUUUGGGUUAAAGGUUAUAAUUGGGCUUUUGUAAUGUAAAUAGGCCCAAAAUUGGCCUACAACAUCUUAAAUGUAAUAAUUUUUGUUGUAUUUCUGUAGUAAAUUUAUUAGGCUCAAAAA
Molecule: long non-coding RNA, 428 nt
Organism: Gossypium arboreum
Lineage: Eukaryota; Viridiplantae; Streptophyta; Magnoliopsida; Malvales; Malvaceae
Exons: 2
Source: RefSeq, a predicted model, not a curated record